CGUCCGAGGCGCAGGCGCACUGCCGCAGCCGUGGCGCUCGGCCGCCUCCUGGCGGAGAGCAGCUUCUUCACGCGCCGUUGGUCUGUGGUUGUGCCCGCGGCCGGCGGGUGCCCGCGUGCCUCAGCCCACCUGGCUGUGCGUGGCCAGUGCCGGUUGAAGUAGAUUCAGACGGUUGACUUCGAGGGAAUUGGAGAAAAAGGAACAGCUUAGAGACUACUUACUUGGGUGGAGAGAACAUGGAUUCCGUUCGUUGGCGGUUGAUGCUGGCACUGUGCAUGUGCGCCCAGACGCCCCGGGACAGUAACGUCGAAUUCGGAGUCGUCGACCUUGAGCCACAAUUCCCAGAGGAACGUGAGAGAGAAGCUGCUGCUCCCCGUUCCCGGCGACGCGCCCACUGCGCACUGUAGAACAGGAAAACUCCUAAUCUCGGAUUUGUGACAUUGCAACUCCUUUCUGAGAAAACAAAACACACACCCACAAACAGAACAAAACAAUACGGCUUUUCUCAUAGACCACAUAGAAAAGAAAAAAAUCCGGAGGAACUCACUCGAAACUUUCAGCCGAGGGACUUCUGGAAAAAAUGGAUUGAAGGGAAGAAAAGGAUGCUCACCAUAGUUAGAUUUCUGUGUUAAUACAAAGUUUUUAAUUUUUGCAAGACACAUGUUACUUUUGAAAGAGCAUACCUCUGAACUCUGCUUUUACGUAAUUUAUAUGUGAUUUAUUCUACUUCUGUCUUUGCGAUCUUUAAAAAAAAGUCAUACUUAAAAUAUAACUUUUAUAAAAAGCAGACAAAAGGCG
Molecule: long non-coding RNA, 798 nt
Organism: Canis lupus familiaris (dog)
Lineage: Eukaryota; Metazoa; Chordata; Mammalia; Carnivora; Canidae
Exons: 2
Source: RefSeq, a predicted model, not a curated record